RNA transcript from Bactrocera dorsalis (oriental fruit fly), 5414 nucleotides. RefSeq lists it as uncharacterized. NCBI's taxonomy places the organism in Eukaryota, Metazoa, Arthropoda, Insecta, Diptera, Tephritidae. The transcript has 2 exons. The record is from RefSeq and is a predicted model, not a curated record.
AUUCGUGACAAUUUGCUUUAGUAUGAAUUUUUCGGAGAUAGCAAUACUUCGAAUAUUUGUCGGUAGAGCUUAUAUACAUACAACUAUUCAUGUGAAAUAUGUCCAUCUGUAUAUAUUCUCCAGUUUUUGUUGGUGUUGCGUCAUGCGACUCUAAAUCUAAGAAUAUUUUUAAUCUAUUAUUUUUUAAGAAAUAAAUUUGUUAAUUUAUUUGAAUACAUUCUAAAACGUUUUCCAUCAUGUAAAAUACUUACAAUUUUUGUAGCAUAUAACUAUAACCAUCAUCUACUACCUAUGUAUUAGAAUAAUCUAUUACCAUGAAUUUAAGUUGCUGAAUUGAAUUAGAACUACAUACUUACCCCUUUUUUGUAUACAUACUUACCUUUAGUCUAAGCCGUUAGGUUAAGAUUUAGGCUAACUAAUGAACUGUUGGAAUAAAGAUUAUUAUUGUAUUAAAGAUCAUAACCGCGAACGGACGCUUUUCAAUUUUUAAUCGGAAUUAUUUAAAUUCGAAUUUAGCACAGGCAAUUAGCUUUUAGUUACGCAUCAUAGUGAGUCCAUCGUGUUUAACUUCAAUCUUAAAAACGCUUAAGAUUUUUUCAUGGCGCCCGAGCAGGGACUCAGUGCGUGGCUGUAAAAAAUUUUCGAAGAAAGUAAUACUUACUUAGCGUAUUAAUUUAAUUUCUAACGCGUGAGCAAUUGCCUGUGAAUUUUCAAUUUAUUUCGGUUUCGGUCGAGUGCAAGUGAUUAAAGUGACAACUAAAAAUAAAUGUCUGGACAAAGACAUUAAAAAUAAAAAUAAAAAUAAAAUAUAUCUAUAUAGAUAUACAUACAUAUCGUCACCUGAAAUGCAAAAUAACGUAUCAUCAAAAAAUUCGAAAUUGAGUGUCUUAUUGAUUACGCUUCACUACUUCAAAUUACAUACAUGAUAUUAAAUAUGUUCAACAUUUUCUGGUUCUGCGGUCAUAUAUAAACCAAUUUUAACCAAUAUUAAUAUUUUGUUUCACUCAUGUUCCAUUUUAUUCCGUGUUUCAUUCAUGCCACUGUAAAUUUCUGAAAAUGUUGUUACGUUAAUUUGCAUUUCAGGUGACGAUAUACAGAUAAAAACUUCAAAAAAAAAAAAAAAAUUUACAUUAAAAAUAGCAGUGGUUUGUGGAAAAUAUAUCACUUGUAUAUACAUACAUAUGUAUAUAAAAAAAUUGCGGAGUGUACACAUGCGACAUACACUCAAGUGAAUAAAAACGAAGUGGUAAAAUCAAACAUAAAGAAACUAAAAUACAAAUUAACCUAAACUAAAAAUUUAAAAAAGAUUGAGAGAAAAAUUCUGUGAAGUGUGUGGCGAAAAUAUAAUACAUACAUAUGUACAUGACAUACGUGCGGUAAAAUCACUAAUAGUGCGCAAACACAAGGAAAUAAAAGGAAAGAAGCAAAACCAAAAGGUGGUGAAUUAGGUUAAACAGGCAUAUUUUGCAAAUACAGUGGAGUGUCGAAAUACAAGCAGUGCCAAAUAAAGGCAUUUACAUUUUUUCUGCUCAGUGGUUACACAGUUAGUGCAUGAGAUUAAUUGCGGUAAAGCAGAUUUAUUAAAAACGACCGCCAAAAAUAUAAAGUGCCGUUCCUAAACAAAAUAAAAAGAGUGUCGCGAGUGCCGCUAAAAAGUGCCGGAAAAGAGGUACAAACCCGUUGAAAGAAAAGUGCCGUAAAACUAAACCCGAUAACUUUGGCCGUUAAAACGUGAAACAGCUAUUUGGGGUAACAUCACACCGGUACCGAACGGGCUUGCGUCAACACCAUCGUCGCUCUGCUGCUGUGUCAACGCCGAUUCUCGCCGCUGCCAAGUCAACGUCAACACCAUCGUCCCACCGCUGCUGCGUCAACGCGUAUUCUCGCCGCUGCCAAGUCAACGUCAACAACACCGUCGCUGCUAACGUCGACGCCAGAUCCGUCUCUUCGUGGGAAUGAGCUGCAAUUGCAUUCUCUGCAAAAGGGAAGUGGACGCAGGCAAACCGCCUAUGCAUUCACAACAGAUGGUAAAAUCCCUGAAGGCUGUUAGAGCGAAUUACGCUGUAUUGCUAAAAUUGUUUCUUUGUCGAUCUACGGAUAAAGAAAUAGACAAUUCUGUGUCAGCCAAAGCGUUAGGGUUUUUUGAGUUCAUGGCAUCGUUCGAAUGCUUUUUUAUGUUAACAAUGAUAAUCGAAAUUUUUAAUCGCAUCGAAAUAUUGAACACCGAACUCCAAAAAUCAAACCUUUCUGUUAUUGACUCCUACAAAAAAGUGAAUGCUGUACGUGCAGUUUUGGAAGCUGCUGGUGAAACCAAGUUUGAAGAAGAUUGGAAAAAGAGUACGCAAGGCGCUGUCGAACUUGAACUUGAUGACCCUAUGCUCGUCAACGCAAAAUAAGUAAAUGGCUCGAGCAAGGCACAAGCGAAGCCCGUAUAUAUUUAAAUCGCCUGAAGAAUAUUAUAGGAAACAGUUCUUUGAAGUGUACGACCAGCUUAUUGAGUCCCUCAGAAGUCGAUUCGAAAAUGAUUCUGCUCAAUAUUUCAAAUUAUUGGAACAAUUUGCAUUGUGCGCAACAGAAAAUGUGGAUGAAGUCCUUAAAUUUUAUGACAAAGACUUUGACAAGGAACGAGCGACAGAGAUAUGUUUUGCCAACUCUGUCCUUCGAAGAUUAAAAUCUUAUUUACGCUCAACCAUGCUCCAGGACAAGUUAAAUAAUGUGGCUAUUUUGCACGUUUACGCAAAUGAAGCAUCAAAAUUAGAUUUAAAUUUGUUAAUGGAUAAGUUUAUAGCAAAAUUGAAUAUAGAAAAACUGUUUUUGCAAUAAAUACAUACAUUUUUUUGAAUUUUUUUUUUAUUUAUUCUACCCAUCCGAAAUUUACAUGAACCGCCGCGCCUGGUUGUGAUUGCAGCUUCUCGACGUCGAACCUUCCUUGUGUUUGUUGACAUGCGUUUUUUGCUGCACAGAGACGGGUGCGAGUCUUGGCUGUGACAAGAUAGUGGUCCGAGUCGAUGUAAGGACCUCGGAGCAUAAGUACGUCUAGAACACUGGAGACGUGUCUUCCGUCUAUAAAAACAUGAUCGAUCUAGUUGGUGGCUUUUCGAUCCGGAGGCAGCCAAUUAGCUUGAUGUAUUUUCUUAUUCUGGAAUCUAGUACUACAGAUAACCAUAUUUCGGGCCCCGGUGAAGCCGAUCAGCCUCAACCCAUUUGGGGAUGUUUCGUCGUGGAGGCUAAAUUUACCGACCGUAGUGCCAAAGAUACCUUCUUUGCCCACCCUGGCGUUAAAGUUGCCAAGCAUGAUUUUGACAUCGUAGCGGGGGCAGCUCUCAUAAGUGCGCUCCAAGCGCUCAUAGAAGGCAUCUUUAGUCACAUCUUCCUUCUCUUCCGUCGGGGCGUGGGCGCAAAUCAACGAUAUGUUGAAGAACCUCGCUUUAAUGCGGAUUGUGGCUAGACGUUCAUUCACUGGAGUGAAUGAUAGUACUCGGCGACGGAGUCUCUCUCCCACCACGAAUCCCACACCAAACUUGCGCUCCUUUAUAUGGCCACUGUUUUAUUGGAAACAAAAAAAAAAAACAAUGGCUGACAGUGAUAAUUUAGAAAGUGAAAGUAUGCAGCCUACAAAGAAAGCAAAAUUAGACGACGACACACAAUCAAGUCAUCAGUAAGUAAAUUAUAUUUUUUUAUUAUUAAUGUGUGCAUUUAUCUACAUUAAGCACGUGUAUAUAUUUAAAAAAAAAAUUAACUAAAAAAAGUAGGAAUAUUUAUUUAAAUUAUUAAUUAAAAAUAAAAUACAAAUAAAUUAAUUAUUUAAUAUUGAAUAUUAUUAUAUACUAGCUGACCCCGCAGCCGUUGUCCUGCGUGAAAUUAUGUGUUUUGAAAUGAAAAGAAAAAAAAUCAUAUUUUAUUGAUAAUCAUUUAUGUAUUUGCUAUUUGUCUACAUUUUUCUUCAAUGUAACGCAGCUUGAUAAACAAAAUUUUUUUGUUUCUGUUCCGGUGCGUAAAUAUACAGAGAAGAUGGUUUUCCAACUCGUGAGCACGCCACGUAUAUCUGGCCGUGUGAAAAACAUAGCAUUUCCAAAUUUAUGGCACCCACUAUGCGACUAUCCUGUUGAUCGUCAUCUUAAAUUCAAUUUUCACUGGAAACGGAAUACUUUUGAACUGAAAUGGCAAAUCAGAACUCAAAAAAAAUCCGUAGAAUCAAGCAUUCUGACCCUUAUAUUUGAUAGGUGCGUCACAAUCAGAUUGCAAUGGUGGGGUGACAUACCAGGCCUCUCCAAAGAAUUUAGAAAUUCCACUGGUAGUUCACGGUGUCGUCUUCAUUGUCAAGACGAUCGAUCGAUUUGUAUGACCGCAAGUCUCCUGGAAUUUGACUUUGAAUUUUCCAGUUUAAGUCAACAACAUAGGUAUUUGUGGCAGCUAACAUUGCCCGUACACUCAAGGAAUCGUACUCACGACAAUUUGGCCAAUGUUCAUAUAAACAUUCGUGAUGAGUCCAUCUUUCGUGAAUUGAUAAACGGCAAAUCGGAUUGAUAUCAGACCACGGGAAGUAUCAACCAGUAUUGACCCAUUUCCAAUUCUUAGCGUAUGCAAUGUAAAAUGUCUUCGGCAAUGUAAUUUCGGUCGUAUCCCAUAACGCGGAUUUGAAGGGUGAUCAUCGCGAAAUGUGUGCGAACUUCAGUGGCAUUCGAAGUAGCCAUCGCAUUGUCUUUGUAAUUGCUGGCUAGCUUCUCAAAAAGUUGCAUACACCUUACCAUUCACAGUAUGCAAUGACUCAAAUGAAUUUGAACCGCGUACAUUAAUCAAUAGCAACCGAAGGUAAAAACAAUCGUCGUUUUUCAGGUGGAUUGUGUAAAUUCGUUCUAAUGCAUUAGUUGAGAACACACCUGGAUGUCUAUCUACUGGAUGACCCUGCUUUCUGCGCAACUAUUUCUUCGAUGAUGAAUCCCAUGUAUAAUAUCAAUGUAUUUCGAAUAGAGCAAUGUUCUCGCAAACGGAUCACUGACGGAAGUUGAGAAAAAACUCGCCAGUGUUAAUUUUGUUGCUGGUGGUGUUUCUGUUGACUGUACUGUAUUCUCUGGGUUGAAAUAGACUCUUUGGUCAUUCUCCAAAUUAACUUCGAGACGCACAACAGUCGGAAAACGUUCAUGAAUUGCAAAAGAAAUAUCCUAUAAAGCGCUUUAUUUCAGUUCACGUAUCGACCGUAUCGUUCAAAACCACUAACCGCCAUGUUGCUUCCUAUGGUGACGUAUUUACAAACGUAUUUUAUCGAUUACACCAAACUACAAUACACAACAUUCACAUGACUUUAGAAUGUGAAUUAGACAAUAGUGGCGAAUAUGGUACGAUCCAUGUGUUGUCAACUUUGAUGUGUUGUUAACUUCGAUAUUUACGCCUCUAAAUUGAAUGCUAAAUGUCUG